GUAGAGCCUGAUGUGGGGGCUCAGUCUCACAACCCUGAGUCGUGAGACCAAGAGUUGGACGCUUAACCGACUGUGCCACCCAGGUGCCCCUUACCCUUAGCCCACCAUCAUAAUGGUACUAGGGACUCAUUACCCUGUCAGGCUAGUUUUACACAGAAACUGGAGGAGAGAGGAGGCCUAUUGUAAUUGAAGCUUACAUUUUGUUUGAGGAUCUUGCAUUUUUCAUCACCCAGUUUGGGAUACCACUGUAUGUGCCCAUAUAGGAGUUUGAUUUUUACUACUCAUCAGGAUUGGAAUAUUACUGCAGCAGUCUUCAUGCUCAGGCAAAUUGCAGUCCUUUUAAAAAGUUUUAAUUUAAAAUCACUCAGAAAUUGUAUCUAAUUUCCCGAUAAUAGAAUCUAAUAGCUAACUUUUUAUAGAAAUUUCUAGAAGUGUUUAAUCAACUAUAAAUUAUAUACCUAUAAACUGUAAAGUGUUUAGAGAUAUGAAUUAGUUAAUAUGACAGAGAAACCAAUCUUAAACUGAAUUUAAUGCCCUAGGGUAUCAGAUUAAAUUUAUCUUCUCUGUGAUUCAUGUCUUAUUUUUACUAGAUUGAAGUUAGAAGAUAAGGGUCACUUUAAGUUCUUAAAAUUUACAGAGGUACAAACUUCCAGUUAUCAAAUUAAAUCACAGGGGUGAAAAGUUCAGAAUAGAGGGGGGGAAGGUAGAGGUUCAUUUGAAUAAAGUCAGUGCUUCUAAAGAUCUCUUUUGUUUUUCUAAACUCUUUCUGAUACAGUAAUCUGAGAAUUUCUCUGUAGAGCAGAGACUUUGAAACUUUGUGGUUGUAACCCACAGUAAAAAAUGCAUUUAUAUCAAAACUCAGAAUAUGUAUAAUGGCGAAUACCAUUAUGUGUAGUGUACUCUGAUGUUUUUUAUUUCAGUUUUUAAAAUACUGCCGGUUGCAACCUACUAUAUUGAUUUCAUAAUCUACUAAUGGGUUGUGACCCUUAGUUUGAAAAGAAGAAAACACCGUAUGGAGGAACUGCUAUCUAUUGAAUAUCUUCUGUUUUCCAGGCACUUCACUAGGCAUUUUACAGGACUGAGUGAUGCAACAGAAGAAAUCUGAAAAACACCUCCAGGACUUAGGAGCCACGAAUUGAAAAAUGAAGAAUUUGGAGAAUUACUGAUCUUACAGUGCUCUAGAUUGCUGUGAAUACAAAGGUAGAGGAGUUCCUGCAUCUACGGCAUUCACAUGCUGAGGAGCCUGAGGCCCAAAGUAGACUAGAUAAAUGAGAAGACUUCCACCUAUGACAUUCUCCCAUGCAUGGUUCGGAGGGGAAGAAGUCUAAUUUUCUGGCCAUUCUCUCUCCUGUGCUGGACCCAUUUCAUCAUAUCUAGACCUGCUGCCACAAUAUCCUGUCUCAAACUUAAAUAUGAACAUACUUCCUGGCUUGAAAAUCUGUGAGUGGAUCUCUACUGCCUGUAAGAUUUGGUCCAUCCUCUGACCUGAAGACUACAACUUCGAUUUCAGAGUUACUGAUUAAAAACAAUGAACUGAACAGAACUAAGACCCAACCUUGAGGAAUUUCUGUCCUGCCUUUCUAAAAGUCUGGUAAGAUAUCCUAAACAUGCCCCUUAUCACCUUAACAACAUUUAUUAUUC
This is a non-coding RNA of Callorhinus ursinus (northern fur seal), 1641 nucleotides long. Lineage: Eukaryota; Metazoa; Chordata; Mammalia; Carnivora; Otariidae. The record is from RefSeq and is a predicted model, not a curated record.